Molecule: transfer RNA, 69 nt
Filed under: Sipyloidea sipylus
Lineage: Eukaryota; Metazoa; Arthropoda; Insecta; Phasmatodea; Lonchodidae
Description: tRNA-Val
Rfam family: tRNA
About the family: Transfer RNA (tRNA) molecules are approximately 80 nucleotides in length. Their secondary structure includes four short double-helical elements and three loops (D, anti-codon, and T loops). Further hydrogen bonds mediate the characteristic L-shaped molecular structure. tRNAs have two regions of fundamental functional importance: the anti-codon, which is responsible for specific mRNA codon recognition, and the 3' end, to which the tRNAs corresponding amino acid is attached (by aminoacyl-tRNA synthetases). tRNAs cope with the degeneracy of the genetic code in two manners: having more than one tRNA (with a specific anti-codon) for a particular amino acid; and 'wobble' base-pairing, i.e. permitting non-standard base-pairing at the 3rd anti-codon position.
Source: RNAcentral
CAGAAUAUAGUUUAUAUAAAAUAAUUCAUUUACAUUGAAUAGAUUUAAGUUUGAUUCUUUAAGUUCUGA